This 323-nucleotide RNase P RNA is filed under the name human gut metagenome. RNAcentral describes it as "Bacterial RNase P class B". It matches the Rfam family "Bacterial RNase P class B". Rfam says of the family: Ribonuclease P (RNase P) is a ubiquitous endoribonuclease, found in archaea, bacteria and eukarya as well as chloroplasts and mitochondria. The record is from RNAcentral.
AGACAAAUGCUGCAUACUUAGUUAUGUUGAGGAAAGUCCUUGCUCGCACAGCCUGAGAUGGUUGUAGUGAUUGUGCUUAGGGAAAAAAUAACCUAAGGUAGCGAAUGCUAACGGCUCUUAAAGGACCUUAAAUGGUCUUAUUAGGUAUAAAAGUGCCAAAGUGACGAAGAAAAGGGAAACCUUGGAAGUGGAACGUGGUAAACCCCGCAAGCGAGAAACCCAAAAUAUGGUAGGGGAGCUGUAACUAGGAACUAAACGAUGUUACGGACCAGUGAUGGUAGAUAAAUAUUUGUCGCCCGUAAGGGUACAGAACAAGGCUUAUU